GGGCUGGUAGUUCAGCGGUAGAAACGCCCGCUUUGCAGGCGGGAGGUCGCGGGUUCGAUUCCCGCCCAGUCCA
Molecule: transfer RNA, 73 nt
Filed under: Nitrososphaeria archaeon
Lineage: Archaea; Thermoproteati; Nitrososphaerota; Nitrososphaeria
Description: tRNA-Ala
Rfam family: tRNA
About the family: Transfer RNA (tRNA) molecules are approximately 80 nucleotides in length. Their secondary structure includes four short double-helical elements and three loops (D, anti-codon, and T loops). Further hydrogen bonds mediate the characteristic L-shaped molecular structure. tRNAs have two regions of fundamental functional importance: the anti-codon, which is responsible for specific mRNA codon recognition, and the 3' end, to which the tRNAs corresponding amino acid is attached (by aminoacyl-tRNA synthetases). tRNAs cope with the degeneracy of the genetic code in two manners: having more than one tRNA (with a specific anti-codon) for a particular amino acid; and 'wobble' base-pairing, i.e. permitting non-standard base-pairing at the 3rd anti-codon position.
Source: RNAcentral